Molecule: long non-coding RNA, 453 nt
Filed under: Medicago truncatula (barrel medic)
Lineage: Eukaryota; Viridiplantae; Streptophyta; Magnoliopsida; Fabales; Fabaceae
Description: lncRNA gene43467
Source: RNAcentral
AUGGGUUUGGAUUAUAUCUGGUGGCACGGCGGAGAAGGUGGCUCCCUCCGUUGGUGUGGUUUUGCCGAUAGUGGAAAUGACCAUAGUGUGUUAUUAUAGUAAGCAUGGAACAAGUUUUUAUUACUUGUGUGCUGUUGUUUGUAUUUAUAUAUGGAGAAUGAGAGGGAGAAGCGGUGGGUGCAAACUAAACUACAAAUGCAAUACAUGAUGGAGAGGUCAAAUCAGGUAGCGUAGUUAAUUACGAGACUACCCUUCUACCACCGUUGACUUCAAUGUUAAUAACUUCUGCUUCAUCAUAUGGAGUCUGGUCAGUGUUCAGAUUAUUCACCGGUAGCAGAGCUCGCACGGCUCGUUUGAAACGUGUAUAUUUUUUUUAUAAAUAGAAUCAUGACGUGAUAAUAUUUUUUAUACUUUUCAAAGUUUACAUUUUUGACACAUAGAAAAAGCAAGAUU